RNAcentral lists this ribosomal RNA (548 nucleotides) under Escherichia coli. Its description in RNAcentral is "bacterial SSU rRNA". It matches the Rfam family "Bacterial small subunit ribosomal RNA", at positions 158 to 701 of the family's 1533-position model. The record is from RNAcentral. Lineage: Bacteria; Pseudomonadati; Pseudomonadota; Gammaproteobacteria; Enterobacterales; Enterobacteriaceae.
GGUAGCUAAUACCGCAUAACGUCGCAAGACCAAAGAGGGGGACCUUCGGGCCUCUUGCCAUCGGAUGUGCCCAGAUGGGAUUAGCUAGUAGGUGGGGUAACGGCUCACCUAGGCGACGAUCCCUAGCUGGUCUGAGAGGAUGACCAGCCACACUGGAACUGAGACACGGUCCAGACUCCUACGGGAGGCAGCAGUGGGGAAUAUUGCACAAUGGGCGCAAGCCUGAUGCAGCCAUGCCGCGUGUAUGAAGAAGGCCUUCGGGUUGUAAAGUACUUUCAGCGGGGAGGAAGGGAGUAAAGUUAAUACCUUUGCUCAUUGACGUUACCCGCAGAAGAAGCACCGGCUAACUCCGUGCCAGCAGCCGCGGUAAUACGGAGGGUGCAAGCGUUAAUCGGAAUUACUGGGCGUAAAGCGCACGCAGGCGGUUUGUUAAGUCAGAUGUGAAAUCCCCGGGCUCAACCUGGGAACUGCAUCUGAUACUGGCAAGCUUGAGUCUCGUAGAGGGGGGUAGAAUUCCAGGUGUAGCGGUGAAAUGCGUAGAGAUCUGG